CCUAUCACGCUCGCGUGUUUUUUCUUUGACGCACGCAUGCAAUCCAAACUUCGACGCAGCGAACGCGUUUAGAUGGACAAAGCUGAGAGUCGCUACGGCUUUCGAGGUCACGGCUGCCGGCGAAGUAGCGAAGCACUUCUCGAACGACGGCCGGCGUGGCUCACGCGGCGAGAGAAGCGUGAUCAACCGGCCGUGUCCUCCUGGUCGUCGUCGUCGUCGUCGUCGAGUGCCAUUGUCGUUCCGGUCGAGUAAAAUUGCUUAUCUGACGCCCGGCGAAGGCCGCAAAUGAGGAAAGCCGGACGCCGUGGCUGACGGCGGAGACUGCACGGACGAAAAUCCUGACCGACUGUCUCGGCCAGAAGCCAGCGAGCCGUCAUCGUUGUUUACCUCGUGCUGAGAGAACACAAAGUCUUAACGACGGAGCGGUGCAUGAAACUCGCACUACGCUACGUUUUCCCCGGCUUUAUUUCUUGGCUUUCAAAGACACUGACUAAAAGAACCAGAUCCAGUCUGUUCGCCGCGCAGUGCCAGAAGACCGUAGGCCACAGGACACUGCCGUCCGAAGUCCGGCCACCCACCCCGCAAGGCUGACCACGAAGGGAAUAUGGCACUGCGAGCAAGGACGACAAGGGGCUCGGCACGGAUAGACGCACCGGGCAGCAGCGGCAACCACGUGAGCGCGCUGACCGAAGAGCGGCCGCGCAGGACCCUCUCCCUGGCCAUCAAGGUGGCUAUCGUUAUUGCCGUGAUCGGCAUCAACCUGCUCAUCUAUGCCAACCUGGAGUAUUUCAAGUCGGACCCACCUCUCAACGACGACCAGUGAACUCUUCCUCCUCGUCACCCCUCUUCGAUCAGUGCUGUUGAGGACUCCAUCCCAAAUCGUUUGAGAGCGAAUCAAGCAGAGAUCUGGAGCACGUUCACACAAGCGUAGCCACAGCAUAAAAUGAAAUACCUAUACAAAUGAAGCUGGGGCGCACUUUGUUGUCUUUGACGCGAUGUAUAUGUGAAGCGGGCGUUCAUUCAAACUCGGACGUUCCGGAGAUGGAACACGCUUAGCGACUGGCAUUACGCAGCUAUAGGUUACGCGCAUGAAGAUAAAUAAUGAUUUUCCGUUCACGUUCCCAAUGGUGGUUAUAUUAUCUAUUCGUAAAGGAGAGACGGCUGACAUGAAGGUCAACGUACACUUUGUUUGUGCAGCUUUGUCAUUAAAACAGAAAGUGAGUUGCCAAGGCGCUACCAGUAUGCUGCGAAAAAAAAAAAAAACGUUAAGAAAGGCAUUGUCGCGUGCACGUGCUUCUAGCUUUCGGGGACGACGUCUUUUAAAUCGCCGCCGGCGUCGAGUUCUCUUUCCCGUAAAAUUUAAACGGGGGAAAAGCUAGGUCUCAUUUCCUGUCACGUGACCUUGUUUCUGCACAAGGCAAAAGGAUAUUUAAUGCUUACGUGCAUACCACAUUCAUUAACAGCAUGGCGAAAUUGUGAAAAGUAGAGUGACAGUUCUUGUCAUUAUUCUGCCAUUGGCGCAUCUCAAAAUGCUCGUACCCUGAUUUGAAAUAAAAAGAGGCCAUUUUUAUUCAGCUAGCUUUUGGAAAAAUUUGUAUUAUUGGAAAAAUUCAAGAAACGCCCCCGCUUAAGCUGUCGCGCAAUAAAGAUUUUUGUUGUUCUGCUUCGUUUGCUGAGCUCACGGUAGUUUUCUGCAACUGAAUUUCAAUGGUGCUAGAAUACAAGUAAUAGUGCUCAUUGUCGGUGCAUUCGGGUAACGUUCAUGAACCUUCAACUGGUGCAAAAGGACAAUAUUUAGUCUGUUGUACCAUAAAAAUGACUUAUAAAGUUAAUACGCCACGUAAGUCCUGGAACCUCCUCGGCAUGCAUGACAAAUAUGACCUCAGACAGCGGAGCUGUUGUGCAAAUUGUCGCAUAACAACGACAUACGCACUUAGGUAUUAAAAAGCAUCUAUAUGUUUUCGCAACCACGAAAUUUGAAACCUGUUUUUCUAUUGAAUAGAGAGAUAGCUUCAUUAACGUGCACCAGAGGGGAUUGUUUUGGCAACAUGUCAUUUGCUGUGAAAUCGUGUGUCCGAUGUGUGCUCGCCAGAUUGCAAUUGCUAGCAUUGAAUAUAAAAAUAAAAAACAGCAUUCCAUCUCCUCACAAUUUAUUGCUCAGUUUAUUUCAAGGUCGCAUCAGAGCACACACCUCGUGGGCAACAGAGCACAAAAACUAAGCAAGUAAGCAAGCUUUACACGUUCGUAAAAUGUGAAGGCGAAAGCCUACCAGCUGUGGAAGAAGACGACGACGAAUGCGCGAGCCGUGGCACGAGCGCCUUUCUGUGACCACGUGACGUGUGCAAUCACGCACGCACUGGGCACA
Molecule: long non-coding RNA, 2365 nt
Organism: Dermacentor silvarum
Lineage: Eukaryota; Metazoa; Arthropoda; Arachnida; Ixodida; Ixodidae
Exons: 4
Source: RefSeq, a predicted model, not a curated record